This 407-nucleotide ribosomal RNA is filed under the name uncultured prokaryote. RNAcentral's name for it is "bacterial SSU rRNA". It matches the Rfam family "Bacterial small subunit ribosomal RNA", at positions 355 to 774 of the family's 1533-position model. The record is from RNAcentral.
UGGGGAAUAUUGCACAAUGGGCGCAAGCCUGAUGCAGCAACGCCGCGUGAGGGAUGACGGCCUUCGAGUUGUAAACCUCUUUUAGUAGGGAAGAAGCGAAAGUGACGGUACCUGCAGAAAAAGCACCGGCUAACUACGUGCCAGCAGCCGCGGUAAUACGUAGGGUGCAAGCGUUGUCCGGAAUUAUUGGGCGUAAAGAGCUCGUAGGCGGCUUGUCGCGUCUGCUGUGAAAUCCCGGGGCUCAACCCCGGGCCUGCAGUGGGUACGGGCAGGCUAGAGUGCGGUAGGGGAGAUUGGAAUUCCUGGUGUAGCGGUGGAAUGCGCAGAUAUCAGGAGGAACACCGAUGGCGAAGGCAGAUCUCUGGGCCGCUACUGACGCUGAGGAGCGAAAGCAUGGGGAGCGAACA